Molecule: microRNA precursor, 92 nt
Filed under: Loxodonta africana (African savanna elephant)
Lineage: Eukaryota; Metazoa; Chordata; Mammalia; Proboscidea; Elephantidae
Description: miRNA (ENSLAFG00000026287.1)
Source: RNAcentral
UGUGUGAGUGUGUGUGUGUGAGUGUGUGUGUGUGAGUGAGUGAUCGGGGAGGUGGCGAUCUGGCAAACAUCACACUGGAGUGCCCACACCCA